AUUGAACGCUGGCGGCAUGCUUUACACAUGCAAGUCGAACGGUAACAGGGAGCUUGCUCCGCUGACGAGUGGCGAACGGGUGAGUAAUGCAUCGGAACGUACCGUGUAAUGGGGGGAUAACGUAGCGAAAGUUACGCUAAUACCGCAUACGCCCUGAGGGGGAAAGUGGGGGACCGCAAGGCCUCACGUUAUACGAGCGGCCGAUGUCGGAUUAGCUAGUUGGUGGGGUAAAGGCCUACCAAGGCGACGAUCCGUAGCGGGUCUGAGAGGAUGAUCCGCCACACUGGGACUGAGACACGGCCCAGACUCCUACGGAGGCAGCAGUGGGGGAUAUUGGACAAUGGGCGAAAGCCUGAUCCAGCAAUGCCGCGUGAGUGAUGAAGGCCCUAGGGUUGUAAAGCUCUUUUACCCGGGAUGAUAAUGACAGUACCGGGAGAAUAAGCUCCGGCUAACUCCGUGCCAGCAGCCGCGGUAAU
RNAcentral lists this ribosomal RNA (476 nucleotides) under uncultured bacterium. Its description in RNAcentral is "bacterial SSU rRNA". It matches the Rfam family "Bacterial small subunit ribosomal RNA", at positions 30 to 524 of the family's 1533-position model. The record is from RNAcentral.